UGGGCAGGUUGAAGGUUGGGUAACACUAACUGGAGGACCGAACCGACUAAUGUUGAAAAAUUAGCGGAUGACCUGUGGCUGGGGGUGAAAGGCCAAUCAAACCGGGAGAUAGCUGGUUCUCCCCGAAAGCUAUUUAGGUAGCGCCUCGUGAAUUCAUCUCCGGGGGUAGAGCACUGUUUCGGCUAGGGGGUCAUCCCGACUUACCAACCCGAUGCAAACUGCGAAUACCGGAGAAUGUUAUCACGGGAGACACACGGCGGGUGCUAACGUCCGUCGUGAAGAGGGAAACAACCCAGACCGCCAGCUAAGGUCCCAAAGUCAUGGUUAAGUGGGAAACGAUGUGGGAAGGCCCAGACAGCCAGGAUGUUGGCUUAGAAGCAGCCAUCAUUUAAAGAAAGCGUAAUAGCUCACUGGUCGAGUCGGCCUGCGCGGAAGAUGUAACGGGGCUAAACCAU
RNAcentral lists this ribosomal RNA (455 nucleotides) under Salmonella enterica subsp. enterica serovar Agona. Its description in RNAcentral is "partial 23S ribosomal RNA". It matches the Rfam family "Bacterial large subunit ribosomal RNA", at positions 737 to 1190 of the family's 2925-position model. Lineage: Bacteria; Pseudomonadati; Pseudomonadota; Gammaproteobacteria; Enterobacterales; Enterobacteriaceae. The record is from RNAcentral.